ACCAAGGCACAGAGAUUUGACUACGAGAAAACACCACCAACGCCAACAGCGCGAAACGCACCAGUUCCACCUUUCACAAUCGAUUCCCCUGUCUCCGCGACCCUAGACCGAAAGCAGACACGCAAUAGAUUGCAAGGACCAAGCGGGUAGGCGCCGUCGAGGGCUCGUCAACUCGAGAAAGGGAGAGAGACGUACGGGAAGGAAG
This 205-nucleotide long non-coding RNA is filed under the name Zea mays. Its description in RNAcentral is "long non-coding RNA NONZMAT000504". Lineage: Eukaryota; Viridiplantae; Streptophyta; Magnoliopsida; Poales; Poaceae. The record is from RNAcentral.